This is a long non-coding RNA of Myotis davidii, 782 nucleotides long. RefSeq lists it as uncharacterized. The record is from RefSeq and is a predicted model, not a curated record. NCBI's taxonomy places the organism in Eukaryota, Metazoa, Chordata, Mammalia, Chiroptera, Vespertilionidae. The transcript has 3 exons.
AGACUGUGCCCGGCCACGUCAGCUGCGGGACCCUGGAGGGGGCGGGGCAGAUGUGGACAGAUUAUUUAUGUUCUCUUAGUGUCAGAAGAGGACUCUUAGCACCCAGGCCCGCCGGUCCUAACUCCGCACCCUGUGUUAGCGCACCCCCUCGGCCCCCGUUCCCGUGCGAGGCCCCGCCUGGCUCUGCCCUGAGACAGGGGGCUGUGUGCGCGUGGUCCCCAGGUGAGCGGGCAGCGGCUUGGUGGCCAGCGUGGCCCCAGAGGGCCCCUGAGGGCAGCCCUGCACAGGGACCUCGUGCCCUUCUCUUAGAAAGAUUUUAGAAAACCCCAUCAAACCGAUCAAGCUGUCCCCCAGGCCAGGUUCAAGGCGUGCUGUCCCCCUCCCCAGGGCCGUGGCCCCCCAGCCUGGCACCUCGCAGUUUACAGAGCCCCUCGCACCCCGGAGCCAGCGAGACCCCAGGCCAGCGCUGAGUGGGGUGUGGGGGGCUGGGAGUCUUCAGGGUGUUUGCCUCACUGGACAGCCAGGGACACUGAGGCCCAGCAUGGAGCUGCCAGAGACCCCACGACCUGCGUGGGGUUCCUGCCGUGGCUUGGGUGUCCUGACCCACAGCCCAUGGCUCCGGGCCCAGAGGACAAGCUCUGGACACACCCAGGCUGGCGCGAGGCGGCCCCCACGCCUGAGAAAUCCGUUGCAUCCCUCCCCGCUGCCUCACUGGGCUCUGCACCCCCACAGGUGCCUCUGAGCGUUUGCCCUUGCACCCUGACCCUUCACCCUGGCCCUGA